This is a long non-coding RNA of Oryzias latipes (Japanese medaka), 2991 nucleotides long. RefSeq lists it as uncharacterized. NCBI's taxonomy places the organism in Eukaryota, Metazoa, Chordata, Actinopteri, Beloniformes, Adrianichthyidae. The record is from RefSeq and is a predicted model, not a curated record.
AUCAGAGCUUUUGUUAUAAGGAGUCUGCAACUCAAAAUAGGGAUUAAAAACAAAAAACUGAGACAAAAGCUUCACAAAAGUUUGCAGUGAUUUUAGAUUUCUGGUACAAAGUUUUUUCUAAUGAUUCCCUACAGUAUUCUUAAUUUAUAUGGAAUUCUUUUGACUGUUUUUUUUUACCUAGAAUAGGUUGUUUCUAAAUCCUAGUUGUUCAGCAGGUUUCACACGCCAAAUAUUCAGCCUAUUUAAGAAACUAAUUCAGAAACUACAACAACCAACCCUCUCCUGUACAAAACAGAGAAGUGCCUCCAGAGGAGGUGGAGAAAAGCUGAGGCAGACCAAGACUCUGAAGAAAAGGGUCACUCCCAAGCAGGACUGUCAAGGAGAGAACAGCUGCUGAGGAGGGCAAGGAAAAGAAAAACGACUACAAACGUGGGAACAUCGACAAGAAAGGAAAGGGGGAGAUGAUCUCCAGAACUUGACCUCAGGCUCACAACUAUUCGUGGCGUGCUCACAGAGAAGUGUGGGAAAGCAGUAAAAACUUUCACAGCAGGAUGGACGCCAAAGAAGAAAGCUUGGGCCUCCUGAAGACGAUAUGGGUGAAGCUACAGGGUCUGUCCAGUGAGAACCCAAUAGAUCUGGGAGCUUUCUUCAUCCUCUUAGCUUUCAUCUUGAUGUUCACGCUCGCGUUAGUGCUGAUCCCCGUGAGCUACUGCUGCUGCUGCUGUCGCAAAAAGAAGUAGGAGGGAGUCGGCUUUGAGGGGAACAUGGUCCACUGAAGUGGGAAGACAUCAAACACUCAAGCGCAGAGGCUCUUUCAAGGCCAAACCAUCCAUUCUUAAGAAUGCUGCUGACAUAUAUCAUACAGUAAAGGGUGUGCCCUAUUCUGAAACUGGCAACCAGUAAAACAGUGUCACGACAGGCUGCCAAACACGCCUGAUUUCUGGAAAAGCAGCAUUCCAGGGAGCAUCCCUGCCCAACAGGAACCCUUCAGUUUAGAGGAAAAGGAGGGACCGGCCGCGAGCACCAAACAGUAGUAAAGAAGAUCAAACAGGGGUACCAACGGAGAGCCGUGGAGGUUUACUACCAUCAAGUAUUCUCAAAGUUAUGCCUGAAAUGUCUGAUUUUUGAACAGAAACUUUGUGUCACAUGAUAUAAAUGUUUCCGCUUUCUUUUCACACUUUCAAAACCCUAAAUAUCCGUCUACAACUGAAGGACUUUGGAUAAAAUGUUUUAAAACAAAUUGACUGCAGCAAACAUUUACCUCUCCUGCUCACAAAACAGCACCAUGGCUUCAAAGUCAGUGAUGGCGCUUUUAUCCGACUCCUUCGCAGAGCCGCGUUUUUCCUGAGAAAAGGGGUCUUCGGUUAUAAAACAGAAAGAAUGAGAUCCUUCUAGUUGAGCUCAGUUGGUAAUCGGACCUGUCUUCGGUUGACCUCCUGUCGGAUGAGGAAGUUUAUUUGCUCCUUAUCUUUGGGAGAGUAGUAGGUGCGACAUGAGGAGGGGAGGCCGUCUCUGCCGGCGCGACCCGACUCUUGGUAGUAACUAGCCAGUGAUUUAGCCAGGUUCCAAUGAGCUACAAAUCUACAAAAAAACCACAACCACAAUAAAAAAACAUGUAGAUCUGAAUCUGACAUAGAGCGAAUCACAAAUCUUUACCUGACAUUAGCUUUAUCGACCCCCAUACCAAAGCUGAUGGUAGCAACGAUGACCAGCACCUUCCCCUGCAUCCACUCAUUCUGUGCUUCUGUGCGAUCUCCUGCUUUCAAACCUGCAAAGGUUUACCCCAAAGUGUGGGUCAUUUCUGACCCAGAGUAUACACCAGGCAGUAAAAAAAACAAAAAACAAACAAACGAGCCUACCUGCAUGAUAUGGUUUGGCCAAGACGCCAAGCUUAGUCAGCUGGUAAGCCACAGUUUCACAGCCUUCUCUGGUUCGACAGUAAACGAUCCCGCAGCCCUGUUCCCAAACACAAACAUUUAUCUACGACAGCAGCUUUCAGAAAACACAAGCGGAUGGUGUAACAGGAUAAAAAAGUGAGUAAAAAGGCUAAGACAACAGUUUAAAAUGCUUAAAAUAAAGCUCAGCCAUGUGUGUUGACACAGUAAGAAUAACCUCGCUACUCUGUGGGACUCAGAAAGAUUAGAGUUCUUUUUGUACGAACCAGAGAUUUUCAAGCUCUAAAAAUAACCAGACUCACACCAUCAAUAAUCCAAAAGUUACUAUCUGGUUUAGAUACAACCCUUUAUAAAUGUAACCACUAUAAGUUCCAGUUUACAUACAACAAAAAGUGACAGAGGUCAUGAUGGUCAUGAUGGCAACAUUCAUCAGAUCCACAAAACAUUCCUGCUUUUAUUGGGAAAAAGGUUGGAAAAUAUAGUAGAUUUAAAAAAUAAUGUUAUACAUUAUAAGUUAGUUAUAAGUUUUUUUUCUAUUCUAUUCAUAAAACUGUAAAGCUUUAAGAAGACCACAAACAGGUAAAAAAAUGACUUUUAAAGACCCACUCUGAUGAAAACUGUAUUUUCUUGUUUUUUUACAAGUUCUUGUAACCUUUUUUCCCGUAAUUGAGGACAUAUUUUGAAAAAAUUAAGCUUAAAAUAGCAAUUCUUAGUAUUUCUUUAUUUAAAUCGUUAAUCAGGAGCAUGACAAAAAAAAAAGCAGUUUGAAGACUAGCGUAUUACUGUCAUCGAAAAAAAAAGCAGGGUGGACCACUGAGACAACUACAUUGUAAUUUUGGGCUAUAUAAAUAAAACUUGAAUUGAAUUGAACUGGGAACACUUUAAAAUAGAUCAAAAGAUGAACGGAGUGGCUCUUGAAAUACAGCAGGGUGUCACGUCAAUUUUUCUAUGAAACAACAUUUUGUUAAAAUAUUGAUUUAUUUGCCAAAUUUACACUGUAAACUAAUUGCUGAAAAAUUACUUUUUUAUUACUUGUAACUUUCUCUGAUAGAAGUGGAACUUUUAUUAAUAAAACAAUAAACAGCUUUGUUAGAAA